AUACUUACCUGGCAGGAGAAAUACCACAAUCAAAAAGGUGGUUUCCCCAGUAUGAGGCUCUUCCAUUACACACUUUGGAUUUACCCUGUGAUUUCCUCAAAUAUGUGAAACUCAUCUGCAUAGUUUCUGGCUUUGCAGACUGCCUCAAGGCCCUGUG
Small nuclear RNA from Protopterus annectens (West African lungfish), 157 nucleotides. RefSeq annotates it as U1 spliceosomal RNA. Lineage: Eukaryota; Metazoa; Chordata; Ceratodontiformes; Protopteridae. The transcript has a single exon. The record is from RefSeq and is a predicted model, not a curated record.